This 614-nucleotide ribosomal RNA is filed under the name Trichosporon asahii. Its description in RNAcentral is "partial large subunit ribosomal RNA". It matches the Rfam family "Eukaryotic large subunit ribosomal RNA", at positions 67 to 671 of the family's 3401-position model. Lineage: Eukaryota; Fungi; Basidiomycota; Tremellomycetes; Trichosporonales; Trichosporonaceae. The record is from RNAcentral.
CAAAAGGAUCCCUAGUAACGGCGAGUGAAGCGGGAAGAGCUCAAAUUUGAAAUCUGGCAGUCUUCGAUUGUCCGAGUUGUAAUCUAUAGAGGCGUUUUCCGUGCCGGACCGUGUCCAAGUCUCCUGGAAAGGAGUAUCAAAGAGGGUGAUAAUCCCGUACUUAACACGACCACCGGUGCUCUGUGAUACGUCUUCUACGAGUCGAGUUGUUUGGGAAUGCAGCUCAAAAUGGGUGGUGAAUUCCAUCUAAAGCUAAAUAUUGGCGAGAGACCGAUAGCGAACAAGUACCGUGAGGGAAAGAUGAAAAGCACUUUGGAAAGAGAGUUAAACAGUACGUGAAAUUGUUGAAAGGGAAACGAUUGAAGUCAGUCGUGUUCUUUGGAUUCAGCCAGUUCUGCUGGUCUACUUCCUUGGAACGGGUCAACAUCAGUUUUGUCCGGUGGAUAAAGGUAGUAGGAAUGUGACUUCUCCGGAAGUGUUAUAGCCUAUUAUCACAUACACUGGGUGAGACUGAGGACUGCAGCUCGCCUUUAUGGCCGGCCUUCGGGCACGUUCGAGCUUAGGAUGUUGACAUAAUGGCUUUAAACGACCCGUCUUGAAACCACGGACCAAAA